AUCUGAGCUCCUUUUGUAGGGGCCGUUGCGGACCCUGAGGUCCUCUAGUACCGGCCUUUUGGUUGUUCCUAAAGUCAGGACUAAAA
Melanotaenia boesemani (Boeseman's rainbowfish) is the source of this 86-nucleotide long non-coding RNA. RefSeq lists it as uncharacterized. NCBI's taxonomy places the organism in Eukaryota, Metazoa, Chordata, Actinopteri, Atheriniformes, Melanotaeniidae. The transcript is spliced from 4 exons. The record is from RefSeq and is a predicted model, not a curated record.